Corvus hawaiiensis (hawaiian crow) is the source of this 443-nucleotide long non-coding RNA. RefSeq lists it as uncharacterized. Lineage: Eukaryota; Metazoa; Chordata; Aves; Passeriformes; Corvidae. The record is from RefSeq and is a predicted model, not a curated record. The transcript is spliced from 2 exons.
UUACUGUGGUUACCACAUUGUAAAAAUGAUGUACAUGUAAUUGCAGUGGAAGGCAAGCCUAUGGCCAGAGUCACGCCAAGAGUCAAAAUCACAGCAAUGUCAAGAUGGGAGAGUGAACAGUGAACAGCUGGAUACAUCUGCACUAUCCUUGCUAGCCCGGGUCUCAGAACAAGAGGCUAUUUCCAUGCUUUACAACUGCAACCUGAAGAGCAUACCAAGAAAUGAAUGGAUUAUAGUUGUCUAUAGAUAAGUAACUAUUUCUGACAGGCAUAUAAUGUAGGUGAAUAAGAACAUGGAGUACAUAGCUUUGCAGAUAAUUUAAAAAUAACAGAGAUAGUUCAGCUUCUCAGCUUAAUUUCUGUUGAAUGGAUAUAGGAGAUGUUGAAUAUUUCAUGGAUUUUCUUACAUCAGUUACAAGCGAGUAAACCAGAGAAAAUCUACUG